Molecule: ribosomal RNA, 490 nt
Filed under: uncultured bacterium
Lineage: Bacteria
Description: partial 16S ribosomal RNA
Rfam family: Bacterial small subunit ribosomal RNA
Source: RNAcentral
AUUGAACGCUGGCGGCAUGCCUUACACAUGCAAGUCGAACGGCAGCAUGAUCUAGCUUGCUAGAUUGAUGGCGAGUGGCGACCGGGUGAGUAAUACAUCGGAACGUGCCCUGUAGUGGGGGAUAACUAGUCGAAAGAUUAGCUAAUACCGCAUACGACCUGAGGGUGAAAGUGGGGGACCGCAAGGCCUCAUGCUAUAGGAGCGGCCGAUGUCUGAUUAGCUAGUUGGUGGGGUAAAGGCCCACCAAGGCGACGAUCAGUAGCUGGUCUGAGAGGACGAUCAGCCACACUGGGACUGAGACACGGCCCAGACUCCUACGGGAGGCAGCAGUGGGGAAUUUUGGACAAUGGGGGCAACCCUGAUCCAGCAAUGCCGCGUGUGUGAAGAAGGCCUUCGGGUUGUAAAGCACUUUUGUCCGGAAAGAAAUCGCACUUACUAAUAUUAGGUGUGGAUGACGGUACCGGAAGAAUAAGGACCGGCUAACUACGUG